GACGAACGCUGGCGGCGUGCUUAACACAUGCAAGUCGAACGGUGACGCGCCUUCCUUUUUGGUGGGUGUGGAUGAGUGGCGAACUGGUGAGUAACACGUGAGUAACCUGCCCCCUUCUUCUGGAUAACCGCAUGAAAGUGUGGCUAAUACGGGAUAUUCUGGGUCUGUCGCAUGAUGGGUCUUGGAAAGAUAUUGUUUCGGUGGGGGAUGGGCUCGCGGCCUAUCAGCUUGUUGGUGGGGUGCUGGCCUACCAAGGCGGUGACGGGUAGCCGGCCUGGGAGGGUGGACGGCCACACUGGGAAUGAGCCACGCAGCAGACUCCGACGGGAGGCAGCAGGGAGGAAUAGUGCACAGUGGGCGGAAGGAUGAUGCAGCGACGCGGGAUGAGGGAUGGCGGCCUUCGGGUUGUGAGCCUCUUUAGCGAGUGAAGCAGGUCUGCCUAGUUUGUGGGUGGGUUGACGGUAGCUGGAGAAGAAGCGCCGGCUAACUACGUG
This 494-nucleotide ribosomal RNA is filed under the name uncultured bacterium. RNAcentral's name for it is "partial 16S ribosomal RNA". It matches the Rfam family "Bacterial small subunit ribosomal RNA", at positions 28 to 507 of the family's 1533-position model. The record is from RNAcentral.